This 764-nucleotide long non-coding RNA is filed under the name Vigna radiata. Its description in RNAcentral is "long non-coding RNA (VRAD_LNC007617)". The record is from RNAcentral. Lineage: Eukaryota; Viridiplantae; Streptophyta; Magnoliopsida; Fabales; Fabaceae.
UUAAGUCUGAGUGGUAUGUUGGGGAGCGUGUCCGUGACCUGCCCGAAAUCAAAGCUGCAUUUGAGUUGUUUGAUGGAGGGAUAGGUGUACCGCAGUUGCCAAAACGAUGUAGAGUUGAUGAAGCUGUAGAUGAUAGCUCCGAUGAUGGCACCUUUGAAGCAAACCUUGAGGAGACAUUGAAGAAGAAUAAUGAAGAAAUGAUGGCGUUGUCUUCAAGGCUAGUUUUUUUGAAGAAUGAGGUAUGUAAAAUUCGUGACAUUCCAAUUGUGAAUGAAGAAGGUGUUGGAGGAGUUGAUGAAGAACCUUUAGGUGGAGGUGAUGAAGAACCUUUAGGUGGAGGUAAUGAAGAACCUUUAGGUGGANAUGAAGAACCUUUAGGUGGAGGUGAUGAAGAACCUUUAGGUGGAGGUAAUGAAGAACCUUUAGGUGGAUGUGAUGAAGAACCAUUAGGUGGAGGUUAUGAAGAACCUUUACCUGGAGUUAAUGAAGAAUCGUUCAAUGAAGAAGCAUUCAAUGAACGUUCAAUGAAGAACCUAUGGCUGAAGAUGAACAACAAGUUGUGAACGUUGUUGAAAUUGUUGAGUAUGAAGAACCGGAGGCACCGCAAGCAAUGGCAAUCGUACCUCUUCGUGCAGUUCAUGGUGAUCCAAGGCCUGACGUCAAUGCUGACCAACUCUACAUCGCCGUGGGCGUAAGGGAUAGACCACAAAGGUAAGUUAUGAUAAUUUUGUUUAAUGUAUUGGUUUGGGAAUAGUUAUUUAUUG